GAUCACCGUGCCUCACCAUGUCAGACGCAGCGGUAGGCACCAGCUCCGAAAUCACCAGCAAGGACUUGAAGGAGAAGAAGGAAGUUGUGGAAGAGACGCCCCUGCUAACCGGAAUGCCAGUGAGGAAAAUGGGGAGCAGACGGCUGACAAUGAGGUAGAUGAAGAAGAGGAAGAAGGUGGGGAGGCAGAGGAGGAAGAAGGUGAUGGUGAGGAGGAGGAUGGAGAUGAAGAUGAGGAAGCUGAGUCUGCUACGGGCAAGCGGGCAGCUGAAGAUGCUGAGGAUGGCGAUGUCGAUACCAAGAAGCAAAAGACCGACGAGGAUGAUUAGACAGCGAAAAAGGAAAAGUUAACAUAAAAAAAACCCCAAAACAAAAGGCCGCCGUGACCUAUUCACCCUCCACUUCCUGUCUCAGAAUCUAAACGUGGUCUCCUUCGAGUAGAGAGGCCGGCCCGCCCACCGCAGAGGACACCCCGCGCUCUCCACUACCCAACCCAAACCAUGAGAAUUUGCAACAGGGGAGGAAAAAAGAACCAAAAUUUCCAAGGCCCUGCUUUUUUUCUUAAAAGUACUUUAAAAAGGAAAUUUGUUUGUGUUUUUAAUUUAUAUUUUAUAUUUUUGUACAUAUUGUUAGGGUCAGCCAUUUUUAAUGAUCUCGGAUGACCAAAGCAGCCUUCAGAGCGUUCUCUGUCCUGCUUCUGACUUUACUUGUGGUGUGACCAUGUUCAUUAUAAUCUCAAAGGAGAAAAAACCUUGUAAAAAAAAAGCGAAAAUGACAACAGAAAAACAAUCCUAUUCCGAGCAUUCCAGUACCUUUGUUGUGUAUGUACUUAGCUGUACUAUAAGUAGUUGGUUUGUAUGAGAUGGUU
RNA transcript from Cebus imitator (Panamanian white-faced capuchin), 867 nucleotides. It is a transcript of the gene named prothymosin alpha-like, with no coding region annotated. The record is from RefSeq and is a predicted model, not a curated record. NCBI's taxonomy places the organism in Eukaryota, Metazoa, Chordata, Mammalia, Primates, Cebidae. The transcript has a single exon.